This is a small nucleolar RNA of Pteropus vampyrus (large flying fox), 105 nucleotides long. Lineage: Eukaryota; Metazoa; Chordata; Mammalia; Chiroptera; Pteropodidae. The record is from Ensembl.
AUCCUUUUGUGGUUCAUAAGUGCAAUGAUCAGGUAUUCAAACUGUUGUGUGAGAUGGUGCCUCCCUCAAACCUUGUUAUAGCCUGGGCACAGUACUCGUCUGACA